GGAGGGGUGGUCGAGUGGUUAAUGGCAACGGGCUGUAAACCCGUCGGGAGAGAUCCCUACGCAGGUUCGAAUCCUGCCCCCUCCACCA
RNAcentral lists this transfer RNA (88 nucleotides) under Candidatus Sumerlaeota bacterium. RNAcentral describes it as "tRNA-Tyr". It matches the Rfam family "tRNA". From Rfam's summary of the family: Transfer RNA (tRNA) molecules are approximately 80 nucleotides in length. The record is from RNAcentral. Lineage: Bacteria; Candidatus Sumerlaeota.